This 599-nucleotide ribosomal RNA is filed under the name uncultured bacterium. RNAcentral describes it as "partial 16S ribosomal RNA". It matches the Rfam family "Bacterial small subunit ribosomal RNA", at positions 42 to 622 of the family's 1533-position model. The record is from RNAcentral.
CCAUGUUUACACAUGCAAGUCGAACGGUAACGCGGGGGCAACCCUGGCGACGAGUGGCGAACGGGUGAGUAAUACAUCGGAACAUGUCCUGGAGUGGGGGAUAGCUCGGCGAAAGCCGGAUUAAUACCGCAUACGCUCUGAGGAGGAAAGCGGGGGACUCGCAAGGGCCUCGCGCUGCAGGAGUGGCCGAUGUCGGAUUAGCUAGUUGGUGAGGUAAAGGCUCACCAAGGCGACGAUCCGUAGCUGGUCUGAGAGGAUGAUCAGCCACACUGGGACUGAGACACGGCCCAUACUCCUACGGGAGGCAGCANUGGGGAAUUUUGGACAAUGGGGGCAACCCUGAUCCAGCCAUGCCGNGUGAGUGAAGAAGGCCUUCGGGUUGUUAAAGCUCUUUCGGACGGAACGANAUGGUUACAGUGAAUAACUGUGAUUGAUGACGGUACCGUAAGAAGAAGCACCGGCUAACUACGUGCCAGCNGNCGNGUUAAUACNUNGGGUGCGAGCGGUCAAUCGGAAUUACUGNGGCGUCACANCGUNCCGCUNCGCCGGUUUCCGCCCANGUCNGGNGUUGANAUCCCCCGGGGCUUAACGCGGGGNAA